GCGGGUGUAGUUUAAUGGUAAAACUCCAGCCUUCCAAGCUGGUUACGGGGGUUCGAUUCCCCCUACCCGCUUCA
Molecule: transfer RNA, 74 nt
Filed under: Firmicutes bacterium HGW-Firmicutes-2
Lineage: Bacteria; Bacillati; Bacillota
Also listed under: 1 other name
Description: tRNA-Gly
Rfam family: tRNA
About the family: Transfer RNA (tRNA) molecules are approximately 80 nucleotides in length. Their secondary structure includes four short double-helical elements and three loops (D, anti-codon, and T loops). Further hydrogen bonds mediate the characteristic L-shaped molecular structure. tRNAs have two regions of fundamental functional importance: the anti-codon, which is responsible for specific mRNA codon recognition, and the 3' end, to which the tRNAs corresponding amino acid is attached (by aminoacyl-tRNA synthetases). tRNAs cope with the degeneracy of the genetic code in two manners: having more than one tRNA (with a specific anti-codon) for a particular amino acid; and 'wobble' base-pairing, i.e. permitting non-standard base-pairing at the 3rd anti-codon position.
Source: RNAcentral